Molecule: ribosomal RNA, 468 nt
Filed under: uncultured bacterium
Lineage: Bacteria
Description: partial 16S ribosomal RNA
Rfam family: Bacterial small subunit ribosomal RNA
Source: RNAcentral
GACGAACGCUGGCGGCGUGCUUAACACAUGCAAGUCGAACGGAAGGGCCCUGCUUUUGUGGGGUGCUCGAGUGGCGAACGGGUGAGUAACACGUGAGUAACCUGCCCUUGACUUUGGGAUAACUUCAGGAAACUGGGGCUAAUACCGGAUAGGCGCUCCUGCUGCAUGGUGGGGGUUGGAAAGUUUCGGCGGUUGGGGAUGGACUCGCGGCUUAUCAGCUUGUUGGUGGGGUAGUGGCUUACCAAGGCUUUGACGGGUAGCCGGCCUGAGAGGGUGACCGGCCACAUUGGGACUGAGAUACGGCCCAGACUCCUACGGGAGGCAGCAGUGGGGAAUAUUGCACAAUGGGCGGAAGCCUGAUGCAGCAACGCCGCGUGCGGGAUGACGGCCUUCGGGUUGUAAACCGCUUUCGCCUGUGACGAAGCGUGAGUGACGGUAAUGGGUAAAGAAGCACCGGCUAACUACGUG